CGACACGUUCUCCAUGUGUAUUGGAGAUUUUUCGUGAAUGUAUUCUCAUCAUGAGAAUGAAAUCUAAGUUGGGAAGGCUCGGGAAAAGAAAAAAACAACACAAAUCCAGAUUUCUGCAUACCCGAUGAUAUACUGAACGCUCUGCUGGACCAGUGAUACAGACUGAAAUAAUCAACUCCAAUGGAAUUUAAAAAUUGAUUGAUAUUUUUACUGGUUCCUGAUGAAGACUGUAAGGUUCAAUCUAUGUUCAACCUGUGUCCAACCUUUGAAGCUGGAAGUGCCUGAAGAAGAAGGAGUUGUCAUAAAUAGAUUGUUUCUUACCAGAUCGUUUAAGAUCGAUCGAACCUGAAUACGAUUGUCAAUUGAAGGUCUAGACAUCUUUUCAAAGAAUGUAUUGACAGAAUCAACAGAAUCUUUGGAACAUAAUAUUUCGAAAUCGCAUUUUUUUAUGUGGAACACAUCUUUAUUUUCUAUAUAGGGGUGCAAAUUAGAAACUCAAGGAAGAAUACAUGUAAAAGUGUGGUCAGGUUUAAAACACUUACAGCUCAGUAUAUUUUGUAUCAAUUCUUCAUAUUAUUUCAUUAUUUGAUUGGGAAUAUUUCUAAGAUUCGAUUUGAAUGUAUCAAGCCGAGUAUUUUCAAUUAUAAAUGAUUAAAAUUUUGAUUAGUAGCGAGCAGUGUCCUAUUUUGUCUGCAAAAAAUCUCAGGCGUACCGGAUUUCCCUGCCAUAGACGACGGUUUUGAAGGAGUAAGCGAUAUAGCAAAGGAAAAGCAUCGCUCUGAUUGGUCAAUCGAUGCAAAAGCGAAGUUGUUGGAAACACGCGAAUCUAUAAAUAGAAGCGAAAUUAUAGCUAACGUUUCAGUCGUACGCGUAGCCAGCGAUGUCAGAUCUACGGAAAUCUCCGUAGAUCUACGGAUCCGUAGACAAAAUCUACGAAAAUUGGAUUUAUUCUACGGAAAUCUACGGAAAUUACAAUUUAUCAACGGAGAACUACGGGAACUAGUUUUGUCUGGCGAGCAAAAAAAAAAGCUUUUCACCGUGAGAGCUUCCGAGAAAAAUGCCAAUCUACGGAAAUGACACUACUACUAUCUGGCAUCGCUGCGCGUAGCAUGCUAGAGAUAGGUUGUUGCUAGACAGCAAGACAAAAAGUGCUAUAAAACGAUUUGAAGCUUUAAUUGGUAUGCUCUGACCUUUGUCAUGCAAGCUCGGAUGAAAUUCCAUGUUAUAUCGUUUCGCCUGAGAAAUAGACAACUACCCAGGGUAAAUUUUGAGUGCUUAAGAUUAAAUUCUAAUUUAUAUAUGAUGAACUCGAUUGAUAACGAGAAAAAAUUUAUCGCUUCUUUCAAAAUUGAAGAAUGGUAGAGAAACUUAAAGCUAUAAAAAUAACUGCUUGCAUACAAAACUUGAACACAAGCUUGGUGAAGAGAAGCUUAAAUAUUUUUGGGAUUUUGGUGUAAUUUCGUCGGCUAUAAAAUAAACAAUGUGCGGUGUUGGUUCCUAAUCAAGAUCAAUCUAAGCAGACUCUCGUGCAAUUGCGGAUUCAAAAGUGUGACGAUUUUUUUGGACUGUUUGAUUGUAGAUCGUUAGAAAUUUUGGUUGCCUUGUUCCACAUCAAUGGCUCGAACAACCCUAUGUAGCUGAUCCUUGUAGUUUUUAUGUCAAAUGAAUUAGAAUUGCAUAAAACGGAUUUAUUGUCAUCUCGAUUGUUUUUAUUUUUUAAAUGACUUUCUAAGACUGAACUCUAGCGCAGCUAACGUGUCGGAAGUAGUUUGCACGGUAUAAAAGUGACAAUUUUUGUUUGGAACACAAACAACGAGCCGGAGCGCCACCACAUUUUAAAAAAGAAAAAUUGGAGGAAUUACUCGAUCGAGACCCGUCGCAAACGCAAGAACUUGCAAUAUCAUUCGAAUUUACUCAACCAACCAACGACUAGAAACAAUGAGAAAGAUCCGAAAGGUAAGCUAUUGGAUGCCGUAUAAAUUGAAGCCCAGGAACGCCGUUUCUUCACGUACGAGCAACUGCUGAAACAUCACAAAAGAAAAGGAUUUUGGAAUCAAACUGUUAUUGGGGACGUGAAAGUUUGUCGAUUACCCGGCUAUGCAUCAUCAUCGACGGUCGUUCAGCAGAAUAUUCAUGGCUUGAAGGUUUGGCUUUGUAUAUGGUGAGACCAGCUGAGUAUGGUGUGUUAUAAGCUGCUCCAACAGUGAAAGGAUACACCGAUAGACACGACAAAGUAAUUUUGCCACAUGACAAUGCUUGCCCGCGCAAGUGGCACUGCUGGUGAAACAUACUUACAAACGCUCAAAUGCAUGGCCUGGCUGAUCAGCACUUCUCCAAUUAUGAUGAAGUAAAAAAAAAUGAAUCGAAUUGAUGUUAUCUGUUUGCAGAUAUUAGAACACUUUUACGAUUCACUUAAACGAAAUGAAUUGAUGAGCAUGAUUUGCCAUGCAUUUUCCGACAAAGUUUAUUAGUCUCUCGUAGGAUUGUGUUCAAGUGUCAAUAUUGCUGAUAUGACAUUUGUAACGUUAAAUGGAUUGAAGCAGGAUGAGGCGCUCUCUAGCUUUAACCGGUAUGCAGAUAAAGAUAUUAAAGUCUCUCUGCAUCUGAGCAAACAAAAACGAAGCGACACACACAAAUUGAACAACAAAAUCGGUUUAGUUUUCUCUAAGACUGGUCGUCAUUUGGCUAAAAAACUGAACACCUUGAAAUCCAACGUUCAACGAAUCAAUCAGGCAAUUGAUGUGCAAGGGAUAACAGCCAAAAAGAAGUCCUACACUGGCGGCCAGCUUGAAACCAGUGGCGCGAAAAUUGUACGACACAGUUUUUGCCACGCACUAGUACGAACGAAACGUAUUCGAUGUGGGUCGGACUAUAAACCCCAGUUUAAGAAACGAUUGGUGAAGAUGACACCUACAAUAUUCUAAACCGGUGUUGUUGACAAGGCGGACAGCUACAAUGACAAUCCUACCAUAUUCUAAACCGAUCUCGCCUCGUGUCAUUGAAUCCAAGCAGAUGACUCCUCUAAAUUUUCCUGAAACUCGUCUCAUCAUAUGGUCAGUCCUUUACGACGCAGUUCCUUUAUAUAUCUAGGCGUUGCCCAAAACUUCGAAUAGAACAGUCAUUCCUCGAAAUGUGUUCCGUGUAUCUGAAUUGCUACAGAAUUAUCUAAACCGAACCGAAGUUAUCGUGUUGUAUGAAAGCUAAAAAGUUGCUAAAAGCUAAAAAGUUGAGAGUUGAAACGUACAAAUAUACAAAAAAAGGUUUGAUGACUUUCCUGAAUACGAAAAAUUGAGCGACAUCCAGAAAACAAGACAAAAUGAUUGCACCGAUGGUCUGGAAUAACCCUUGAACUUUGUACCGACUUGAAGCCAAUUGGCCAAGCUCACCAGCAAUCUAAUACAUGCCAGUCUUAACACUUAUCAGUCGACGCUUGCAACCAGCCAAGCUGCAUCUUUUUAGUGUAUCCCAUAUGGAACAAAGUCUGAGCUGGAUGGAGAAGCACGAGUGUCGCAACAGGUCUAAAAUGAAGCUACUUUUCAAGUGUAGGUUCCAGUGAAGCGUAUCUGGUUGAGAAACAGUACCGAUUUCUUUCAGCAAACCUCACAAACAUCCAGUGGAAGUGAACGUUUGUUUUGAUGCUUAGGUAGUUUGGAGCUUUUCCCGUAGAAUUUGAAUGCAGCAAACAUGCUCAACAUUCUGAAACAAAACCUGAUGAGGUCACCGCCGAGAAAAUGUUCGGACCUGAUAACAGAAACUGGGUUCUGCAACAGAACAAUAACCUACAAUUUUUAUAAAAUCCUGUUCAGCAGUUAUUUAGGGAAAAGCAAAGAGGCAUUGAAGCAAACACUUUCAUUACCUUCGAAAUAUUCACACCUCCAAACAGACUCUAAUUAUCGAACAGUAGAAAAUAACUGCUCCCGAGAGAACGAAGUGAACAACUACUGAACUGUCACGAGUUUAACCAACCAAUUGACGAAACGAAAGCGCCUCAGGAAACGCAGGGUAUAGGCCCCCGGUGGAAUACAAAGUCCGGAUAUGCACGUGAAAUGCUGUUCUUCCAAUUGACACACAUACACCCGCAUCCAAAACAAACGAAAAAACAACGCACCGCCAGCUAACUGCCUGCGGAGACUGUGGCACCAGAGUUUGUUGAUUGCAUUUCAACUUCUGCUGUGCCGCAUCGGUGUCGCCCAAAACCGCAUCCAAAAUGGGUUGACGGGGUUUUGUUUGUGGCAUGUGCUUUUUGUUCGAUGUUGCGUUUUUCGUGCUUUAUAAACCGCCCGCGAAGGUGAUCGGAUCGCUGCUGUCUGCCGUUGUGGUGUUGAAUUCAAUUAACGCGGUGUUUUGUUUUUUUUUUCGUUUCCGUUGUUUCACGGUUUUGUUAUUUGUUUGCUGAUGACCUUGAACCUGCGCCUGCCUGAGCGAUUGUUGGCAUUGGAACCCCUCCUGCAUUCGGGGGAUGCGCAGCGGCGGCCCACACAAUCAUUGAAUAUGUUUCAUUCAGUAACAGAACCCAGACCGGCCAAAUGGAUCGAAAUUAAGUUCUGAGAAUAUUACGUUUCGGAUUGUAGCAAGAUCUCCGAUGCCCCCGUUCUGCGUGGUUGGAUGGGCGAAUGGAGAGUCAGUUUAUUUUAAAAGUUUACUUGGGUAUUGUGUGAUUUUCUUAUGAUAUCGAAAAAAUUCUUCGGUCGAGAAAAAUAAACUCCACCACACGGAAUUGAAAGUCUAGAAAAAAAUCUUCAAAGAGCAGAAUUCUAUGGUCACGAGAUUUGGACUGUGUUGGAAGGGGAUCAAUGCACUCUUAGAACUUUCGAAAGUGAGACAAGAUGAUGCUACGGAACGAAGCGCGGAAGAAAAACAGAACGAGAAGACCUCGUAUGGACCAAGAAUAGCUACUUGGAGAACUUUCUACUCUAUGAACGUAUGGAAAUUGAACGACUGCUUGAAACUUUUCUCAAAGCCCAAAUGCUACUCGAUCUAAAGCAGGUGCAUUGUUUUCAACUGAAUAAAACGAGCUGUGUUAUCUACAUUCAAUUCUGGAAGGAGUGUGUUAAUAUUGUAACACGUACCUUUGAGAAGAUGACGGAAUCAAAAUAGUUACCCGCGAAUUGUCCCGAAGCUGCAAUUUUAUUUCGUGCGAUGCAAAUCAAGCUGAAUCUGUUCUAAAUGUUCGAAUGUACGGAAAGAUCGAUCAAAUCGAGCCAACUGCUCCACGAAAGAAUUGAAUGAAAAAAGACAGGAAAUUGGUUUCAUUGAUGUAAAUUAAGAACAGCAGAGGUGCAGAGCGAUUUUUCUGUGGUACACCAGAGCUCGAGGUUCAAGAUUCAUCGGUAGUAUCACAUUUUGCUGUCAAAGUGAACAGUAGACAAUCAGAGCGCUUAAUCUGAAUCGAUCUAAUCGAUUUAAACGGACAUGAGUGCUGUUCAUUCUUCAUUACACGAUGAUGAUAGACGAUAAAUAGCAUUGUUGAGCGCGCAGAACCGAUAUCUCAGAGAAGUGACUAUCGGCGAAAAAAUCCUGACUCAUAGGACAAUAUUUUUAGAGUGUCAAAGAUAACAUCAGAAAUGAGGGAUGACAAUCAUCAAUUCUCAGAAUUUCCUGAUAAUUCCCUAUAAAUAAUCGACUCGUAUUUUUUGUGCUGCAUUCACAUAGCCGUUUUCCGGUUAGUGUAAUUGAAAAAAAAUUGAUCUGAAAAAAAUUGUUGUUCUCUCGAAAAGAUGUCUUAAUUAAAUGAACCGAUCUCAGUGUUCUAAGGUCAAAUGAAACUUUCUCUUCUGUUAACACUCCGACUACCAAGGGGGUAAAAAAAGUGAGAACGCUAAUUUUGACUGACCUCUUUUUACCAUUAGAAAGAUAAAUUCAUUCGGAAUAAAAUCCAUUUGAAACAAUGGAAAACAAUUCUAUUCAAAGUUAUUAUAAAAAGUUCCAACUAAAGUCUGUUGAAAAAAAGUGGGAACGCUUUCUUUGGCUGGCCAUAUCUCAGCUGUUAGAAGUCCGGUUUUUGAAAAUUUGUUUAUCUCUCGACAGGUACGUCUAUCACAACAUAAAUGGAACAGAAAAUUUUUCUAUUACACUUUAGUAAUGAAAGUUAUAAUCAAAAACGUAACCAAAAGUCCAAGCAUAAAUGAUCGAAAACUUCGUGUUUUCGACAUAUCUUUAAAUUCAAAGCGACGACAUAUGCAUUUUGAUAUACCAAUAGAUUGCAUUUGAUAUCAGCUAUAUGUCUUAGAAGAAAUCAAUUUCAACUUUACUGAAAAUGUCUCAAAAAUUCGAUACUUUUACAGAAAUUUUAGUAUAUUAGAAGUAUUAGAAGAAUGAGCUAAAUAGAGAUAAGCAUUUUUGUAUACCAAUCGAUUGAAUUUGAU
Molecule: long non-coding RNA, 6365 nt
Organism: Malaya genurostris
Lineage: Eukaryota; Metazoa; Arthropoda; Insecta; Diptera; Culicidae
Exons: 3
Source: RefSeq, a predicted model, not a curated record